Molecule: ribosomal RNA, 442 nt
Filed under: uncultured bacterium
Lineage: Bacteria
Description: partial 16S ribosomal RNA
Rfam family: Bacterial small subunit ribosomal RNA
Source: RNAcentral
CCUACGGGAGGCAGCAGUGGGGAAUAUUGGGCAAUGGAGGCAACUCUGACCCAGCAACGCCGCGUGAGCGAUGAAGGUCUUCGGAUUGUAAAGCUCUGUCGCAGGGGACGAAGUAUGACGGUACCCUGUAAGAAAGCCCCGGCUAACUCCGUGCCAGCAGCCGCGGUAAUACGGGGGAUGCAAGCGUUAUCCGGAUUUAUUGGGUUUAAAGGGUGCGUAGGCUGUGAGGUAAGUCAGCGGUGAAAUGCCCCCGCUCAACGGGGUGAAGUGCCAUUGAUACUGCCUUGCUGGAAUGCGGAUGCCGUGGGAGGAAUGUGUGGUGUAGCGGUGAAAUGCAUAGAUAUCACACAGAACACCGAUUGCGAAGGCAUCUCACGAAUCCGCGAUUGACGCUGAUGCACGAAAGCGUGGGUAUCAAACAGGAUUAGAUACCCGUGUAGUC